UAUCCAACACCCAGAACGGCGUCUUCCAUGAAUUCAACCCUCAAAAUUUUAAUAAUCAACAGAUCAGUAAUCUGCCUAACGAUCCGUUCAUGGUGGAUCCUCGAUUUUACCCUCAGGACCACCAGAUAGUUGGCCCGCAGAGGCCUACCUCCAGCGGCAUGAGCAGCACCGUCGAGUCGUUUAGUGGACCCAGGCAGCUGGCACCUCCGCAACUUAUUCAGCCGCAAAGGAGAUAUCCCAGGUCGCCGCCGAUGUCUCCUGACGACUGUCACAGCGACUGUGAUUCCUCCUCCUCCGUUGUGGAUGAUGGUGAAUGCGACGUCGCCGCCUCCUUAUGUAAAAAGCCUUUACCUUUCGACCUCAACUUCCCGCCGCCAAUGGACGCUUAUGGUGUAGACUCUGACGUGUGCGACCUAGCUUGCACGGCCCUCCGACUUUGAUGUUGUGUCCUGAUGACGACCAAAUCAUUUGGAAAACUCAUCUAGUUAAAUUACUUAUUUCUUUUCCUUUUUUUAAUUUUUUGUUUUUAUUUUGCGGAGGAAAACCCUAAAAAAAUGAAAAAAAAAAAUGCUCAUAGCUAGGGUAAAGCCUUUGGUGAGAUAAAAACUAAGGUGGGUUGGAGGUCAGGCUGCUAUGGGUAUCCUGUUGUUUGAAGAGGAUUUACUUGAAUUAGAUUUAUAAAAUUGAUGUUAUGGAAAAUAGAGGAUAUUAUGAUGGAUGGAUAUUCAGUGUCCCUUUGUGAUAUUAUUGUCUUUCGAUGAUUGCGUGUCAUCGACUGUCCUAUUGACUUCUUUGGAAUGUAUAUGAAAUCUGUUGUCGAAGACUUGUGUAUUGUUUUAUUUACUUUUAAAACUAGAUGUAAGAACGUCUACUAUCUAUUUGUUAUGUGUCGUUUCUGGAUUUUUUUCUUGCUGAUUUAUGAAAUCCAUUUUCGGAUCUUUUAAUGUAAAAAUGGAAGUCUCAUCUCAUUCAAUGCUACAAGAACGACUACUUAUGCUGCACUUGUGCGAUAAAUUUUGUUCCAUGUUAUGUUCAUUUCAUUUGUUUCAUAUGGUUUGCCAUUCUUUUGGAUGAUUUGAGCUGCAAGUUGUUUGCUAGCUUUAUAUACAUCUCAUGUGAUUAACAUGUUGGUCAUUAGCUAUCCGGAUGGACUGGUGUAACUUUAGUUUUUCUUGCAGGCUUGUUUGAAUUGUUGUCCUGUCUGCAUUUUUAGUUUGGUAUGGCUCAGUAGUAAGAUUUGAUGUACUGGCUUAUCUGAGCUUUUACUACUUAGGUUUGCUACUAUCUAUUGAUUCUGAUAUGCUUGAAGGUAUCAUGAGUUAUGAAAGCAAUCUUCUUAGCUUUUUGUCAAGUUCAAGUUUUUGCCUUUGUGCUUUUGUGCUUAACAAUAACCCUAUCUCUUCCUCGAGGUGUAGGGAGCUUUAUGCUAUCUCUUUUUUGUUUUUACAUGGUUCAUGCCCAAGACUUGUGCAUGAGGUUUCCUCUUUGUUUAAAAUCACUGCAUUCAAGUUUAACGUGUUUGAUGACUUUCGGGUAACAGUUUCUUAUGGUUAGAUUUCUAUAAUGAUUAGAUAUGUGUGGAUAAAUUCAUUUCCUGUACAUUUAUACUGGCAGAUCAAUAUGGUUAGAUCUUAUGGAUGAUUGGUCAUUAAUAUGCCGUUACUGGUUUACAACCUGCAUUGUCCAUGUCGCGACAAAAUAGAAGCAGAUUGGAAUUUAAUACCGUUUACUUAAAAGUAGCUAUUCAUCAGAAUAUCUCCUAAGCCUCCUUUUAAGAUGCUAAAUUGACUGCAAUAUUGAUCGAUUAAUACCUUUUUAGCAUGUUUGUUAGUGUUCUCAGUCAUUUUAUCGUGUUUAUUUCUUUUCAUGCUACGUUAUACAGUCAUUUGUAUGCAAGUUCUUUACACAUUCACUACCUCAAUUCUUUAUUGCAAAUUCUUUUUUUAGUCGUUCCCUUCUUAAUUGUUUGAACCGGCCUAUCCUUCUGCACAGCAGAAAUUUGUUUCUUCGAAUUUUCAUUAGGAUAAGCAAAGUGCAUUGUAAAAUUGUAAGUUAGCAAAUCCAUUUUUUUGUUCCUCGUGAGGAUCAGUGUUCUAUCUGUUCUGCUCUGUUCAUUUGGUAGGUUAUGAUGUGUUCAUUCUUACAUCAUUGGGUGCAUGUAUUUAUCAUGGCAUUGACAGCACCAUUAUAAUGAAAGCAGAUUCUCAGGUUUCAAUGUAAACCGCGCGAUCACUGUGAAUUUUUGUUUGGUUCAUAGCAUUGAUCACUUGUUAUGAAUUUUCUGUUUGUUGUAGCAUGAUUUCUUGUUGAUGCGACCUGUGCUUCUGGUCGAUAACCCGAACUUAUCCAUUUUUGUUCAUUCUGAACAAUGUGAAAAUAUAGUAGUUCUUGAUUUUAACCCUAGAACACACCUUGGUUUUAUGUUUGACCACUUGGAAAGUGUAUAUUGUCGUGCUUGGGUAAAUGGGUAGUGCAAAGCACAAACAUGUAGGUUGUAGCUUUUAAGACUAUGCCUGGCCAACCACUUUCACUCUUUUUCUAACCGGCCAAAUAUAUUAGCCCUACCGGUCACGCGUCUUUCGUUCAAAAUUUGAACGCUAUUAAUAUUGAAUGGUACUAGUAUAUUCGUUCAUAUUUACCAACCAAUAAUUAUAUUCUAUCAUCUUUUCAAUCAUUUUUCUUAAAAAAUUCAAAUUUUAAUUUCAAUCAUACAUUUAAAAUUAUUGUUCAUUAUUAUCUACACAAUAUGUGCCCGAGACAUCUAACACCUCUCAUGAAUUAUUUUAAUUUUUGAACUCAAAUAAAUAGUAACUACAUAAAGGUAUAUUUCCCAAGCGAGGACAUAUCACUCAACACCACCACGCAAAUUACAGUAUUUGAUGCCUUCAAUUUUGAUAGCGCUGAGUCCUAUCCGCUCUCCCCUUUGCCACUGGGAGAUAUGCCUGGGGGCCUCUCCACCCAUUUCUCUUUACACGCACAGUAGAGAGAGAAAAAAUUAUCGCAAUCUGGUCUUUCUCCCUGAUUUUGUUUGGUUUUUUGUACAUAUUUAUUUAUUCUCUCUCUAAUCUAUUUCUAAAGCCUUUUCUUGUGAGAGAAAGAUUUGUUUGUUUUCCUUCUCGGAAAUUAUAUUUUUGCUGCUGUAUCGAUCGAAUCUGACAAUGAGGCGAGGCAGAGGAGCGACGGCGGCGGCAAGGCAAAUGGCGGCGAACGGCAGAGAGGCCAACGGAUCUGGAGGAUCUAAGGAGAUCAAAUUUCGGGGAGUGAGAAAGAGACCAUGGGGAAAAUUUGCUGCAGAGAUCAGAAACCCUUGGAAGAAGACUCGGGUGUGGCUAGGUACGUUUGAUUCUGCUGAAGACGCGGCUAGGGCCUACGACGCUGCUGCUCUAUCUCUCCGGGGCCACAAGGCUAAGACGAACUUUCCGUUAUCCAACACCCAGAACGGCGUCUUCCAUGAAUUCAACCCUCAAAAUUUUAAUAAUCAACAGAUCAGUAAUCUGCCUAACGAUCCGUUCAUGGUGGAUCCUCGAUUUUACCCUCAGGACCACCAGAUAGUUGGCCCGCAGAGGCCUACCUCCAGCGGCAUGAGCAGCACCGUCGAGUCGUUUAGUGGACCCAGGCAGCUGGCACCUCCGCAACUUAUUCAGCCGCAAAGGAGAUAUCCCAGGUCGCCGCCGAUGUCUCCUGACGACUGUCACAGCGACUGUGAUUCCUCCUCCUCCGUUGUGGAUGAUGGUGAAUGCGACGUCGCCGCCUCCUUAUGUAAAAAGCCUUUAC
This 3774-nucleotide long non-coding RNA is filed under the name Olea europaea (common olive). RNAcentral's name for it is "long non-coding RNA (OEUR_LNC007498)". The record is from RNAcentral. Lineage: Eukaryota; Viridiplantae; Streptophyta; Magnoliopsida; Lamiales; Oleaceae.